This 257-nucleotide long non-coding RNA is filed under the name Glycine max (soybean). Its description in RNAcentral is "long non-coding RNA (GMAX_LNC003486)". Lineage: Eukaryota; Viridiplantae; Streptophyta; Magnoliopsida; Fabales; Fabaceae. The record is from RNAcentral.
UUGUAUUCGAGCAUAAUUGUUUAUUCACUCUUUGAGUGUUGUUGAAUCAUUGUAUUCAUUUAAACUUUUGUUUGUGAAAGUUAGGAGUGACUUAGUGUUAAACAAUACUUAGGUUGUCUUAGAUUCAAGGAGAGUCUAUGCCCUAAAUGACAAAGAAUACUUUUAUAGCUAGGAGUGACAUGACAGAAUGCUUGUUUGUAAUCAAUGUUUUGAUUAGUAGAACCCUUUACAGUUGUUAAAAGAGAAAUGAAUGUAAC